RNAcentral lists this long non-coding RNA (1207 nucleotides) under Olea europaea subsp. europaea. The record is from RNAcentral. Lineage: Eukaryota; Viridiplantae; Streptophyta; Magnoliopsida; Lamiales; Oleaceae.
UUCCUCGCAAGUUCCUAUUUGCGUGUCGUAUCUUGUGUUCCCAGACGUUUUGUCUUCAGUGGUACUGUGGAUGUAGCCAUUUUUGUAUUAUUUGAUUAUGAAAGAAACAUGGUAUUUAAUCACGCGAGACUCUGUAACGUGUUCUUUAUGUAGACUUUCUACUGCAUAGAGUUGUAUCUUCAUGUGAAUCUGCAAUUUGAUUUCUAUCCCAUCUAAUGAUAAACCUUAAUGACGAGUUAUGUUUUUUGUUACUGAUUUUUAAAGUUGCAUUCUACUUUCGUGCUUACUGGAAACAAUACGCGGUCGUUGCUACUUUUGAGUCUUUUAGCAAUAGGUCCCCUGCAUCCACUGGCACUUAUGCAAUGUGAACACUUUUGCAAGAGUCACAAGUUUACUGCAUCGAAUUGUGCUUAGUGGAUCUUUUUUUCUUUUUGCGGUGUUCGGAUUAUAUAUACCUUUUGAGUUUUCAACUUACUUGUAUUGAUGUAAUUGUUUAACCCUUGUUGUAGGAGAAUAAGGAGUACAAGGCUUUCAAAGACAAAGAUGUAAGUGAGAUUGACAUUCACUUUCGUCAACUAUUCGACGACAAGUACGUAGUCACCCUGACAAAGGUGUAUAGAACAUGCUUCAAUUUGUUUGAGGACAAUGUGUUCAAAGGCCAUAGGGAUGCAAUCAUUAUCAAUGCAGAGAGCAACAGUUUGAAUGAUGAGGAAGAUGAUAGGAAAGGUAAAUCAAGCAUGGGCAUUUCCAAAACCAAAAACAGCGAAAAAAGAAAGUCAUCCACAAAGAAGCAAAAGAAGAAGUAAAAAAUUUCUGCACAUGAGUUGUUGUUCUUCAUUGACCAAGCCAACAAUGCCACCGAGAAAGUGACAGUAUAGAUCAAUACCAUUAUUGCUCCGAUCGACAACGUUGGAGUUGUCUGUGUUGAAGAGUUGCUCACGAUUGAAUGGCUCGAGCAUCAUACACAUUUGUACCUUUACGCCUGUACACUCCUAACGCAUAAGCGUUAUCGGGAUAUGGUCGAUGUCAUGAGAGAUGUAGAUGAAAAUUUUGGAUGGAUUGAGUGACAGUUUAUUGAGCGUAAUAAAUUGUUCCAUUGGUAAGAUUACAAAAUUCGAGUACUUUUGUGUUUUUUUCUAGAACAAUUGCCUUGUAUCUUUCCCGAUGAUCUAAACGUUAUAUAUUUCAAUUUGUAUAUGAUUAUGUU